RNAcentral lists this unclassified non-coding RNA (254 nucleotides) under uncultured bacterium. Its description in RNAcentral is "contains 16S-23S intergenic spacer region". It matches the Rfam family "Bacterial small subunit ribosomal RNA", at positions 524 to 776 of the family's 1533-position model. The record is from RNAcentral.
UACGGAAGGGGCAAGCGUUGUUCGGAAUUAUUGGGCGUAAAGGGCGCGUAGGCGGCCUGGCAAGUCUAGCGUGAAAUCUUCACCACUCAACGGGGAGACUGCGCUGGAAACUGCUGGGCUAGAGUGCGAGAGAGGUAAGUGGAAUUCCUGGUGUAGCGGUGGAAUGCGUAGAUAUCAGGAGGAACACCAGUGGCGAAGGCGGCUUACUGGCUCGCUACUGACGCUGAGGCGCGAAAGCGUGGGGAGCAAACAGG